This 253-nucleotide ribosomal RNA is filed under the name Novosphingobium sp. RNAcentral's name for it is "partial 16S ribosomal RNA". It matches the Rfam family "Bacterial small subunit ribosomal RNA", at positions 524 to 776 of the family's 1533-position model. RNAcentral also lists the same sequence under 2 other names. The record is from RNAcentral. Lineage: Bacteria; Pseudomonadati; Pseudomonadota; Alphaproteobacteria; Sphingomonadales; Sphingomonadaceae.
UACGGAGGGAGCUAGCGUUGUUCGGAAUUACUGGGCGUAAAGCGCACGUAGGCGGCUAUUCAAGUCGGGGGUGAAAGCCCGGGGCUCAACCCCGGAACUGCCCUCGAAACUAGAUAGCUAGAAUCUUGGAGAGGCGAGUGGAAUUCCGAGUGUAGAGGUGAAAUUCGUAGAUAUUCGGAAGAACACCAGUGGCGAAGGCGACUCGCUGGACAAGUAUUGACGCUGAGGUGCGAAAGCGUGGGGAGCAAACAGG